UACGGAGGGUGCGAGCGUUGUCCGGAAUCACUGGGCGUAAAGGGCGCGUAGGCGGCUCAUGAAGGCUGUGGUGAAAGUCCGGGGCUCAACCUCGGAUCGGCCGUGGCGACUCGUGGGCUGGAGCACUGUAGAGGCGGGUGGAAUUCCGGGUGUAGCGGUGGAAUGCGUAGAGAUCCGGAAGAACACCAGUGGCGAAGGCGGCCCGCUGGGCAGUGGCUGACGCUGAGGAGCGAAAGCAUGGGGAGCGAACAGG
Molecule: ribosomal RNA, 253 nt
Filed under: uncultured bacterium
Lineage: Bacteria
Description: partial 16S ribosomal RNA
Rfam family: Bacterial small subunit ribosomal RNA
Source: RNAcentral